This 306-nucleotide ribosomal RNA is filed under the name uncultured bacterium. RNAcentral describes it as "partial 16S ribosomal RNA". It matches the Rfam family "Bacterial small subunit ribosomal RNA", at positions 507 to 807 of the family's 1533-position model. The record is from RNAcentral.
GACAGCAGUCGCCGCGGGAAUACGUAGGGUGCAAGCGUUAAUCGGAAUUACUGGGCGUAAAGCGUGCGCAGGCGGUUAUAUAAGACAGAUGUGAAAUCCCCGGGCUCAACCUGGGAACUGCAUUUGUGACUGUAUAGCUAGAGUACGGCAGAGGGGGAUGGAAUUCCGCGUGUAGCAGUGAAAUGCGUAGAUAUGCGGAGGAACACCGAUGGCGAAGGCAAUCCCCUGGGCCUGUACUGACGCUCAUGCACGAAAGCGUGGGGAGCAAACAGGAUUAGAUACCCCUGUAGUCCCUGUCUCUUAUAC